GACGAACGCUGGCGGCGUGCUUAACUCAUGCAAGUCGAACGGAAAGGCCCUGCUUUUGUGGGGUGCUCGAGUGGCGAACGGGUGAGUAACACGUGAGUAACCUGCCCUUGACUUUGGGAUAACUUCAGGAAACUGGGGCUAAUACCGGAUAGGAGCUCCUGCUGCAUGGUGGGGGUUGGAAAGUUUCGGCGGUUGGGGAUGGACUCGCGGCUUAUCAGCUUGUUGGUGGGGUAGUGGCUUACCAAGGCUUUGACGGGUAGCCGGCCUGAGAGGGUGACCGGCGACAUUGGGCCUGAGAUACGGCCCAGACUCCUACGGGAGGCAGCAGUGGGGAAUAUUGCACAAUGGGCGGAAGCCUGAUGCAGCAACGCCGCGUGCGGGAUGACGGCCUUCGGGUUGUAAACCGCUUUCGCCUGUGACGAAGCGUGAGUGACGGUAAUGGGUAAAGAAGCACCGGCUAACUACGUG
Molecule: ribosomal RNA, 468 nt
Filed under: uncultured bacterium
Lineage: Bacteria
Description: partial 16S ribosomal RNA
Rfam family: Bacterial small subunit ribosomal RNA
Source: RNAcentral